RNAcentral lists this ribosomal RNA (65 nucleotides) under Ganoderma lucidum. RNAcentral describes it as "partial 25S ribosomal RNA". Lineage: Eukaryota; Fungi; Basidiomycota; Agaricomycetes; Polyporales; Polyporaceae. The record is from RNAcentral.
UGACCUCUGACCUCAAAUCAGGUAGGACUACCCGCUGAACUUAAGCAUAUCAAUAAGCGGGAGGA